GCUCAACCGAGGAAGUGCUUCGAAAACUGGUAAACUUGAGUGCAGAAGAGGAAAGUGGAACUCCAUGUGUAGCGGUGGAAUGCGUAGAUAUAUGGAAGAACACCAGUGGCGAAGGCGGCUUUCUGGUCUGUAACUGACGCUGAGAUUCGAAAGCAUGGGUAGCAAACAGGAUUAGAUACCCUGGUAGUCCAUGCCGUAAACGAUGAGUGCUAAGUGUUGGAGGGUUUCCGCCCUUCAGUGCUGCAGCUAACGCAUUAAGCACUCCGCCUGGGGAGUACGAUCGCAAGAUUGAAACUCAAAGGAAUUGACGGGGGCCCGCACAAGCGGUGGAGCAUGUGGUUUAAUUCGAAGCAACGCGAAGAACCUUACCAGGUCUUGACAUACCAUGAAAAGCUUAGAGAUAAGUCUUUCCCUUCGGGGACAUGGAUACAGGUGGUGCAUGGUUGUCGUCAGCUCGUGUCGUGAGAUGUUGGGUUAAGUCCCGCAACGAGCGCAACCCUUAUUAUCAGUUGCCAGCAUUCAGUUGGGCACCCUGGUGAGACUGCCGGUGAUAAACCGGAGGAAGGUGGGGACGACGUCAAAUCAUCAUGCCCCUUAUGACCUGGGCUACACACGUGCUACAAUGGUCGGUACAACG
This 637-nucleotide ribosomal RNA is filed under the name uncultured bacterium. RNAcentral describes it as "bacterial SSU rRNA". It matches the Rfam family "Bacterial small subunit ribosomal RNA", at positions 607 to 1244 of the family's 1533-position model. The record is from RNAcentral.